RNAcentral lists this long non-coding RNA (1042 nucleotides) under Felis catus (domestic cat). Its description in RNAcentral is "lncRNA (ENSFCAG00000050010.1)". Lineage: Eukaryota; Metazoa; Chordata; Mammalia; Carnivora; Felidae. The record is from RNAcentral.
ACCUUCCGAAAUGAGGAUUCACUUAAGCUGCCUCCCUGGUUCCUCUACUCCGUGCAGGCCAUGUCCUACCCCAGCUUUCAAGCCGUCAUACCUGUACCUCAGAGAGAAAAAAGAGGUCCCGGUCUGCCAUCUACAUAGAGUCAUUUUGCCUGAUGUUUAUAGCUGGUCUCUGGAGGGAAUGUGGUCUCCAGCGAUUCUCCGAGGAAACCGCUGGAAACAAUAUUUGAACAGAAAUGGUAACGAGAGCUUCAAACAGAUCAGAGUGGUUUCAGACGUCUGAGAAAUGUGGGUCAGUCUCCAAAGUGGACCUAAGGGCCCACGUAGCUGUGUGGUGAUGGGCCUGUACUGGCCGCUGAGGAAUGUCUAUCCCCUUGCUAUCUGUCCCCGUGUAAUUAUUGUAUUUGUUCAUGUGGAUCCUGCUCUAUGUUCCUAGGUCCUAUCUCAUCUUCCCUGUCAGAUGUUUAACUCUUUGUGGGUAGAUCCUUCCAUGUCUCUUGUUGUCACUGGAAUACCACCCGACAUGCUCAGCACGGUGGCCGGCUCUGUGGGCGGUCAACAGUGUCAGUGAGCUAUGAAAAAAACAGGCCAAGUGGCAUUUGGGGAAGUGGUUUCCCAAACAUUGCCUGCCUCCUCUCCAGCCCCUCGUCCUGUUCACCUGUUAUUCCAGUGACCAGACUCCAGUCAGAACCAGCCUCUCAGCUUUGGAAGCAUUAGAAUCUAUAGUGUUCUCCUGACAAGAACAUAGCCCUUAAUCUCUAGGAACAAAAAAGGGAUUGUGUUCUCCCUCCCCAGGUCUGGGCAGGCUGCCUACGGUACAGUUGGGGUUCUGAGCACUGCUCAGUCUCCACCUCAUCUAGUCCCCUCCCUACCGCAGUGCUACCACAGGGUCACCGAGACUGCUGUGGGCAAGUGUCCAUCCAUCCCUGACAACCAGUGAUACAGGCACCUGACUGGAUGCCUCACAUCCUGCCUGAAACCACUACCCUUCCCCUCCCCCACAUCUUUCUAAAAAAAAUUUCCUCUGUCUAAUGUGUAGUCUUUC